CCUAUGGUGACUGCGGAGGAUCAUUAACGAGUUCUGAAAGGGGUUGUAGCUGGCCUUCCGGGGCAUGUGCACACCCUGCUCAUCCACUCUACACCUGUGCACUUACUGUAGGUUUGGCGUGGGCUUCGGGGCCUCCGGGCUCUGAGGCAUUCUGCCGGCCUAUGUAUCACUACAAACACAUAAAGUAACAGAAUGUAUUCGCGUCUAACGCAUCUAAAUACAACUUUCAGCAACGGAUCUCUUGGCUCUCGCAUCGAUGAAGAACGCAGCGAAAUGCGAUAAGUAAUGUGAAUUGCAGAAUUCAGUGAAUCAUCGAAUCUUUGAACGCACCUUGCGCUCCUUGGUAUUCCGAGGAGCAUGCCUGUUUGAGUGUCAUGGAAUUCUCAACCCACACGUCCUUGUGAUGUUGCGGGCUUGGAUUUGGAGGCUUGCUGGCCCUCUGCGGUCGGCUCCUCUUGAAUGCAUUAGCUUGAUUCCGUGCGGAUCGGCUCUCAGUGUGAUAAUUGUCUACGCUGUGACCGUGAAGCGUUUGGCGAGCUUCUAACCGUCCUGUAUGGGACAACUUCUUGACAUCUGACCUCAAAUCAGGUAGGACUACCCGCUGAACUUAAGCAUAUCAAAAAGGGGGGAAAAA
Molecule: ribosomal RNA, 634 nt
Filed under: Trametes sanguinea
Lineage: Eukaryota; Fungi; Basidiomycota; Agaricomycetes; Polyporales; Polyporaceae
Description: eukaryotic LSU rRNA
Rfam family: 5.8S ribosomal RNA (bases 222-375)
Source: RNAcentral